CAGAGAAAGAAAAAAAAAAUAUUACAAAAAUUAUUAACCAAAGCACACUAGAAGUAACACCCCCGUCAUUCAUGGAACUUGUUAUUAGUGAUUUUUUUUUUAAAGGCAACGCAAUAAUUCACUGCCUGCUUUUCACUUUAAACUUUCUCGAUCGUACCUUCAUAAUUGUCCUGGCCCAUAUGCACUUCUUUGAGAGUGCAUACCAGUUGCAUAUACAUAUACGUGGACGGAGCGUAAAAGUCGCAGCAGCUGUGUGGCAUAGAAUAGACUCGAGUCGAGUCAUUCAGUGGAAAUCGAGACACGUAUUUGCGCAAUAAAAAUUACAAAAGAAAAAUUGAUCAACUGGAGUUCAACAUUCGUAUUAGCUAUAUGUACUAUAACUGUGCUCCUGUAAUCCGUGUACUCAUAGAGAAAAGUCUGUGGUUCUUAUAUCGCCAGUUCUCUUUUGCCUACUGUCUCUCUGUCUCUCUCUCUCUCUCUCUCUUAUUUUCUGACGCUCUCGUGCAUUUCUAACAGUUUCCGCUUUCGGAAUCGAGUAAGGAUCAGAGAUCCUCAUUGGUACAGUAGUAAAGCGAAGUAAGACUCUCUCAUUGAAAUUUGCAUGACAAUGGCUGAUUUGAUUUUUCGAUAGCACCGGAUAUCCUCGAUUACCUAUUUCUCAAUUAGAAACCCUCCCUAAUGAUGGAUUCAUUAUAUUCACUCGCGAACUAAUUCUAAGUGCUGAAACGAUAAAUACCAAGACUGUACCCGUGACCGCAUCGUCUCGCGCCAAUGGCGUCUCCGCUUUCGAUCAGGAGCAGUAAAAGUGCAAUAAAUUGUUUAAUUCCUCUAUCACUUCCGCUUCUUUUUUUACAUUCGUCUCAAUCUUUCCGAAUGAUCAACGUGGAUUCCCUCGUUACGCAUCGUCGACCGAUACAUUACCAAAUACGUGGUGAGCAAUUAAAUUGCGAUUAGGAUUAUUGUAGCGCGUCGAUUUCAGUAUAGACUAUAGUCUAAUAAUCUUGGACUAUGAAUAAAACUAGUUCUAAACGUGUUUCUUACGUGCUCUCAUAAUUACAUGGAUCCUUAUCAACGUGUCUCCCUGUAUAUUCUUUUUUCGUUCCUAUUACGCACGCGCCUGCUUGUAUGUCGCUACGUGUAAACGUUGCCUAACCUAAGUGUGAUCUGUCGCGUGAAUGUUAAAUGCCAGUGAAAUUGAUAGUCGACGAAAGUAAAGAAAGUUUUGGGCGUUGCGAUAUCUCGCGAUUUUGUAAACGUAUCAGACAGAAAGUAUUAACGGUUUGAAAUAUUAUGUUGCGGUGCUAGAAAUAAAAGGAUUUUGGUACCUGACACUUGUGCGGUACGCUGGCGUAAAAUCCAUCAUGGAGACCGUCGCAUUUGAAGUCAAUCUCUUCAGGCGUAGCAGCGAAUUUCAAAAUCGACUUCAGACGGAUUUAACUAACAAGAAGAUGCGACUGGAUUACAAAAUCGAUCUGACGCAAUUAUCCAGAUACGGCACGGAUACCUGGUAAUUGUUAUAAAAGAGGAUCAAGGCUGUUCAUGAUACAUCCAUAGAUUCAUCUACUGGAUCCUCUAUUCGAUCAAUCUUAUAAAGACAGUGUGGAGACACCUUUAGGAGGUUAGCAAGUGAAUGCACGACCUCGUCGAUGAAAACUCGCCUCCUACUCUUGUAACGGGAUUUACUUUUCCAUGGUGUAUAUAUACGGCCGUAGCCAUAGGAGCUAUGUGAGUAUUACUGUACCAAGUCGAUAUUGCAUACACAGGUGAAAAAAAAUCUGUAACGAGGGAGUCUGGGCUAAUGGUGUAUAAAAGUGAAUUAUGAGAAUGCCCCAUGAGGGGGGACCUCACAUUCCUAUCAUGGGAAGUAAUACCAGAGUAGGCGUGUAUGUUGCUCCAGUAGUUGUAUUGCCACAGGACUGUAUAAUUUCUAUGAGGAAAUGUUUGUUUGAUUACUGUUUCAUCACACUCCUUUAUAAUUUAUUAAUUAGAAUAAGUAGCAAACACAUCCUUAAGAUCCAUCUUAGCCAUUGAAAUCUAUCGUAGGAGUUUGCUGUAGGGCUUUUGAAUAAUUAUAAUAUGUGCUUCAGAGAGACAGGUUACUAAGUAUCUUGGUCACACAGACAUUUUAUUAAUGAAAUAAUUUAUUGAAAUUUUUUGCAGACGGUUGCACAGUAGUUUUCACUUUUAAACAAAAAUCAUAAUGAAAUAUUCCUUGAGGCGAAUGGAUGCAAAUGGUAUGAAGCAAGUAUUGGUAUUUAGUAUCUCUUUCUCUUUUAAAUUCUCUGCUAGUGUGAAAUGUCAGAAAGCACUUGAAUGUUAAGUCAAAUCACGUCAUCGAGUUUACGUUAAAUAUCAUGCAUGGCUAUUUUAGCCUAUGUACAUUUGUUUGAUGGGUGAUCAUCUUCGCUCUUGCAAAUUCUCCCUGGAUUUACUGUACAGCUUCAAGAUAAAUAUUCACUGUACCAAGCCUGUUCGAUGCAGAACAAAGGAUUGUCUUUUAUAUUCUUCUCAUACCUGAUGAGUCAGAGAGUCAAGUUGCAGGUGGAAUAAGCCAUGGAAACAUGGCGGUUACUGCAGGUGCAUGGUACAUGUAACGGAGCCAUACAAGAACACAAGAGAUCCUGUUUACAAUCGAUUCGACGCGAAUGACUCUCUUGCUGAUUUGCGCAACGAGACCUGAGGUUGUUAUUAAGUAGAACUAUGGCGACACAAUAGCAGGCGAGAAAAUCGUUGAUUCGAAACGGGGCGAAAGUAAUAGCAGCAUUCGUGUCGCUGUCAGUCGUCGAGAUAACUAAUGCAAAUUAUUAUCUAACAAUUAGGUCCAAUUCAUACGAGAGACAGCGCUAUAGAGAAGUGGAUAAAAAAGUAAUGGAUGGAAGCUUUAAAGUAUAUCGAAAAUAUUUAACGUGGAUCCAGAGGCAAGUCAAGAAGAAAGUUUUUGUAUUGACGUUGGCGUCUGAGAAUUUCGAAUCUUGAUUAUCAGAUCUAUCGUCUCCGUUAAAAACGAUUAACCGACCAUAACACGUCUGAGCGCAACAAAAUUCUCAACGUUCCUCUACAGCAUAUGGGAACGGAUAGAGGGACUUUCUCUGUGCUGUCACCACUGCUAACCAUAAUAUAAGGAUAAUGGGUGUUAUAUAAAUGCAGGAUCACGUAAUACCGGGUGAUACCGAUUGUCCCAAUGUUUUUGUUAAUAACCAAUCAAUACUUUUAGAUAGUUGUAUGGAUUUUUUCAACUGCUAGCUGUAGGAGUUCCUCAUCAGAAUAAUCAUCUAUCUUAUGAAGUACAUAGUAGCUGAUAAGUAUGUUGGCCACGCUGGUGAAAGUAUAACCUUGUAGCACGGAUCUGUUUUUUUGGAUUUGGAAUUUCAGUGUCCAUCUUCAUCAACUUCGUCCGAUCCAGUCUUUGUCCAAUCACUUGGCCGAAAGCUUACAUGGUUAUGAUGAUGGUGUAUGGUAUAAUAUCAGGAAUCGGAACGAUAGGUAGAGUGUAUAAUGGCGGGUGAGGCGAGAGGAGAAGAAAAGUGAAAUGACGAACUGCAGUCGAAGAUGUAGGACACAAGCGGUUAAUCAGCCACCGUGGCGAAUUCUCGCAUUAAUUAGGAAGUAAGCACCGCGCUCCAGUUCGCAGACAAUUAUUAAACGACGUAAAAGCUAUAGAGAAGGAGAAGCAGCCUCGUUGCAGACGCUUGGAAAGAUGUGAAGGCUAUUGCACAAGAUGUAUCUCUAAGUUAUUCAUUUCAGUUGCCACUUCUUUGUAGAGCAAGUGAAUGACACAUUCUUAAAUUGGAUUAGAGGGAAGUGAAGGAUGAUAAGCAUUAGAAAGCGACAAAGACUUUAGAACGCGUGGUGAUAACAUCCGGCGUACGGCGAGAAUCGUCCAAAUCUAAGAUGUCGCUUGAGAAUUUUUAGGGUCUUUCAGUAUAUUCGUUGAAAAUGAUAGAAAAAAAUAUGCAUGCGACCGAAGAUUCUUGCGUCAUUCUAUGCUCGAUGGUAUGAGCGACGUUGUGUUGAAGUUACGCCAUACUACAUAACGGUUAAUACGAAGGAGUCGCAAAGGUUACCGGAAGUCACGUGUGUCAGCGUGAUCAAAAGAUUGACAAAUUUUUUAACGAAUCUCAACAGCUGCUUACCUCUUUUUUAGACGGAUUAAGUAAUUACCGAUGUCUAGAAAACCGUAGGAUAUUGUUUAGCUCGUACAAUUUCUUCGCAAAUGUUUGAAUUGUUUAAAAAUUUUUUUUUUUAACUAAGUCAAGAAUUCGGGGUUUGUCUCUAUCUUUUUUUUGUCUGCUGUUAUUUCGAGAAUAUAUAUUGAAAUACUGGAAUCACAAUGCUUGGCAAAAGGCGUGGUUAAAAUACUUGAUAGCCUUCAAAAGCAUUGCGGGGCUGGCAGUCCCGCCGUAGGCUGCCUUACAGCCAGUAGCUUUCAUUUCCUUGUAUACUGUAGAAACAGCACCCAGUUUGUAUAAGACUUUGCUUGUUCUUGUAUAUCUUGUUAAUAAACUUACUAGCGUAAGUGCGAUAAUAUAGCAAUGACGUUGACUAGGUAUGAGGAUGAACCCUGUUAUGUAAAAAUGAUAGAUAUUUUUCUCUGGUACAAAAUCCAUUGGUUUCCUACAUGGAAACUUUUCCCUGUUACAUACCAAUGUAUUCUUGCAUAACGUAAACAAAAAAAGGAACAAUGAAGAUACUUGGCCUAAAAUACAAUAAGUAUAACGUGCACAUAUUUUGAGUAUACUGUACCUAGUACGUAGGGAGAAUGUAUAUUGAAAUUGAUAACUGAUUUUUUUUUAUUUACGUUACCAGUUUAUCGAUUGUCUCGUGAAGGCCAGAUCGACUUUGGCCGAAAGAAAAAUAGAGCAAGUAUGUAUCUUAAUGUCUCUUUUUUUUAGUCCGCUUCAUUCUCACCCGCCAAUCGCUGCAUAGAGAGUAACCGUCCUGUAUGCGUGCGGCCUUGUGCGAGAAUACUCGAAAGCGUUGCUCGUAAUCCAUUUCUACGCUUUUCAUUAGCAAACAUAGUUCUCGUAAUUAACCACUAGAAAGAGCGUUACAUUUUUCCCUCAUAUUUUUGCAUUUAUAUUCAAAUAAGACGCGCGCGCACGCAAAUGCACAAGUUACGAAAAAACAGGGGGUUUCCCGGAUUCUCAUGUGCGCGCAUCCACUGCAGCCGUGCGCGCGCAAGCGAUCAUCACCUCGCUGAUUUAUCAUGUCAAGGCGGCGGGAUGGGCGUAUUAAAAUUUUAGUGAAAGAAAAAAAGUUGAAGGAAGAGGUGUAAACAAUGGGCAAACGUGUACGGGAUAUUUGGUAAUUUCGAAAAAAACGAAGGACCACCCACUCUGCCAUCUAGAAUUUGAUUAGUCAUGGCUGAACGGAAUUCCAACGGCAUUGUCGUGGAAUGGAUUUCAAUUAAGUUAACGAAUAUGAUACCGUUCAUCCAAUGGACAAAGAUUAUAACGCACAAUGAAAAUGCUUGGGAUUCGCUUAACUCGUACCGUUAUACCAUUCUUACUGUAGUCGUAAUACAGGCAGGAUGAUCAGGCGUUCCUCGAUUCUCGGACAUUGACCACUAGCAGUGCUUAUUUCUCGUUUCAAAAAGUCCCACGCAAAAUGGUCACGUCUACUUCUAUGUUUAACCGAGCGUAAACAUUUUUUUCAACAAUCCAGUCUCUGUUGUAUAAUACCACAAGGCUGUACAGUAAAUUACACUCAAGCUAACAGACGGAGAUUUGAAAUUCAGCGCUUUUCCCAUAGAUGUCGCUGCGAGCGCUGCCAGCGCUGACGUCAAAGUUACCUGUCUGUCUAUUGCCAAAUUUCCAGUACACUUUACUUGGAAGUGAAAUUUCUUUGAAAUCACGUAGAAUUGCAUUGACACACAUACAUUUUUUAAAAAAUAAAUUCUUCACAAGUGCGACUCGAUACAGGAAUACAGGAUACAUUCUAGGAAGUAUACAUCCCGUGGAAAAAUGGUAACAAAAUAAGGAAGCCCGGCUUCCUGGCGGUGUUAAUUCACUUUCGAACGGUCGAAAGUGAAUGCGAGCAUUAGAAUACAUUAGCAUCUACUCGGAAGCAAGAAGGUUAUGAAGGAAUAAUACGAUGGAUACUCCUACACGUUAAAUGGAUUCUGUAACGUUGAUACUUGCAUUCUAAAAUCUUCGAGUUUUAUUACGUUCAUUCAAAACUCUACAAAUGGAUCCUGCCUAUUGGCGAUCGAAAGUCUGUCUGGAAAGUUUUGGACUCGUUAAUUAAAAGCAAAGAAGGCGGUCUUCUGGUGCUCGCCUGUGUUAAGACAGUUUCUCAACACUGAAAAUGAGAUGCUUCCUCUAGUCUUCAGAAUGAAAGUAAACUUCAAGGCGAAUGUGGUAAAGAAACAACUACUUAAAAAUUAUCAGCGAUACUGGACAAGCGAAAGUUUCUUCUUCUUGUGUCGAUUUCUUAAAAAAAGUCUCUGUCGCCCACGUUGAAAUACCUACCAUCCUCACCAAUAGACCUAGUGCAACAGCGGCAAAAGGACUUGACCGAAUACAUGUAACAAUGGCUAAAGGAAAUAGAAAAGGAAGAGGAAGAAGGUAAGAGAGAAAAAAAUAAAACACAAACCUUUCUCUCAGCCGUGGCCGUCCUCUCUCAAUCCCUCAUGAGACUUAUUUUCUAAGUCUCG
Molecule: long non-coding RNA, 6655 nt
Organism: Cephus cinctus (wheat stem sawfly)
Lineage: Eukaryota; Metazoa; Arthropoda; Insecta; Hymenoptera; Cephidae
Exons: 5
Source: RefSeq, a predicted model, not a curated record